Molecule: ribosomal RNA, 492 nt
Filed under: uncultured bacterium
Lineage: Bacteria
Description: bacterial SSU rRNA
Rfam family: Bacterial small subunit ribosomal RNA
Source: RNAcentral
AAAGGAAUAGACGGGGGCCCGCACAAGCGGUGGAGCAUGUGGUUUAAUUCGAUGAUACGCGAGGAACCUUACCAGGGCUUAAAUGUAGUAUGACAGGCGCAGAGAUGUGCUUUUCUUCGGACAUAUUACAAGGUGCUGCAUGGUUGUCGUCAGCUCGUGCCGUGAGGUGUCAGGUUAAGUCCUAUAACGAGCGCAACCCCUGUUGUUAGUUGCCAGCGAUUCAAGUCGGGAACUCUAACAAGACUGCCGGUGCAAACCGCGAGGAAGGUGGGGAUGACGUCAAAUCAUCACGGCCCUUACGUCCUGGGCCACACACGUGCUACAAUGGCCGGUACAGCGAGCAGCCACCCCGCGAGGGGGAGCCAAUCUAUAAAUCCGGUCACAGUUCGGAUCGGAGUCUGCAACUCGACUCCGUGAAGUUGGAAUCGCUAGUAAUCGCAGAUCAGCCAUGCUGCGGUGAAUACGUUCCCGGGCCUUGUACACACCGCCCGU